RNAcentral lists this ribosomal RNA (336 nucleotides) under Peniophorella praetermissa. Its description in RNAcentral is "LSU rRNA". It matches the Rfam family "Bacterial large subunit ribosomal RNA", at positions 1719 to 2022 of the family's 2925-position model. Lineage: Eukaryota; Fungi; Basidiomycota; Agaricomycetes; Hymenochaetales. The record is from RNAcentral.
AAUUUAUCCCUCAUAAGUUUGCCGCCAAGAGGAMCCUAUAUGCUACAAAUUACGUUUGCUAAUUUGUAAAACAAGUAGGUGUCACAAAAUCGGAAGCCCCGACUGUUUACUAAAAACAUAAAUCGCUGCAAUCAUGUAAAUGAUAGUAUAGCGAUUGAAAUUUGCCCGAUGCCAUUAACUAAAGAGAGGUGAUAGGAAACUGUUACUGAUUAAACGUCUGGUUAAUAGCGGUCUUAACUAUGAGGAUCCUAAGGUAGCAAAAUAAAUUGGCCAUUAAAUGUGGUCCGGUAUCAAUAAUGUAACGAUGGCUUCACUGUCUCUGACACACUUGCUCAG